CCUGGAGACACUUCGCAUACACUGUGCCUGGGGCAGCAGAAAACGCUCAGGUUCUGCAAACAGACUCACUUACUAUGUGGAUAAUUUAGUCUGCCCAAGCCUCCCUUUCUUCUUCUGUAAAAUGGGGAGAAUGCCUUCCUAAUAGGGUUGCUACAAACAGUAAAUGAAAUAUUGAAUGUCGGAUACUUAAUAUAAUGCCUGUCAUUAGCAGAUGUUAAAAAAAAAUCCCUCCCCACCUAUCCCUGUGUUCACUCUCAUCAACACUAGCCUGGCCCCUGCCUCUGGAAACAAACCUCUCUAAGGGUCUUGGGCUGAGCAGCUGAUCCCAUCAAGGAUGGAGCUGGCACCCAGAGUUUUCACUUUGUGAGGAUUUCUUGGAGCAGGAAAAGUCUUUGGUUCAAUAAGGAAGAGAGUUCAAAUAGUGGAAGGCGGUGGGGGAGCCGAUAGGGGAGGCUCUGUGAGCUGGGGACCUUCUAAAGGUGAGCAUCUGUGAUCAGCUGUGAUUCUACCACGCCUGCACCAACCCCUCUCAUAAACACCAGUGGUCAUUAUGCACUGGAUAAAAUCCCAGCCUUUCAGCCAAGUUUUCAAGCCUUGGUGAUCUAGCCCACCUGCCUUCAUUCAUUCACUCCACGAACAUGCCCCAGGUCCCCAUCUCCACAACUGUACACAGGCUGGUCCCUGGACCUGCUACACCUUCCCUCACUCUUACCUACAUUACUCACCAGCCCUUCAUGUUAGAAACCAUCUGUGCCCCUCCAGAACUUGGUCCACAGUUGUUUAUGCUUGUGCCUUAGCUUCCGCAUGGGCUCUAGGCAUCUGUAGUCAGGGUCCACAACCGAGCCAUCCUGAGGACACUCAGGCGGAGCCUUGCCUCUCGCUUUGCACCACACCACGGCUCAGCGUCUUCUUGGAGUGAAUAAGGGACUGGGCUUCUCUACACUCAAGUCAUUCCCAUCUCAGAACAGUCCAGGUGCACUGAAGGAGGGAAAGCUGGGAGCACACUCCUCCCACAGGCUGUCCAAAGGGAUUUGAGAGUUCCUUUGGGGGUGCUGUACUUUCUUUGCCACAUAGGCAUGUGGCAGCUAUUUGCAUGACUAUCUGGCAUCCUAAGUACACAAAGAUGGUUUGUCUAUUUCCCAUCUGCUAACCUGCUUGGAUGACCUCCUCCUCAGCACAGCACACAAGAGCACUAAAGUGCCCCAGGGAUGCUGCAGGCAAUGUCUAUAC
Molecule: long non-coding RNA, 1230 nt
Filed under: Homo sapiens (human)
Lineage: Eukaryota; Metazoa; Chordata; Mammalia; Primates; Hominidae
Description: HSALNT0223041
Source: RNAcentral